Molecule: long non-coding RNA, 817 nt
Organism: Gadus macrocephalus (Pacific cod)
Lineage: Eukaryota; Metazoa; Chordata; Actinopteri; Gadiformes; Gadidae
Exons: 2
Source: RefSeq, a predicted model, not a curated record
UAUUGUACAUUUAGCUCAUUUUGUAAAUCCCAUUGAUUUCUGUUGGAAGACUCAUUGCUUCUUCAAAUUUGGUUGUAGUCUUUUCGCUCGGUUCUAGCCCUACUGUUGAGUCGGAGAACAGAGCGAAAAGACUACAACCAAACGUAAACAGCCCCCAUUUACGUUUCCGGCCAACAAGCAAUGAUUCUAGGAGGUAUUCUAGUCCGCUGAGCUAUGAGCCAGCGGGAGAUAACGUUAUGGAUUGUACAUAUUUAUAAUUCGAAAUUCGUCUCAGCCUUUAUACCACAGACACUCUAGGGUCCAUAGCAUAUAACCGUGUUGUCUGAUUACAGUUUGAUUCAUUUUUCACUAUUUAACAGAUCUCGUUCUGAAGAAUAAUCACCGCGCCAUUCGUUUCAAUGGGAAUCGGGACGGUCUAUACUUUCAACAUAAAGUGUAUUUAUAUUUUUUAAUUCGUCCCAGCCUUUACACCACAGACACUAUAGGGUCUAUAGCAUAUAACCGCAUUUUCUGAUUGCAGUUUAAUGUAACAGUAAGCUGACAACGCCGCAACUGCAAAUGAAACACACGGAGAUAACCAUGGCAACCGGUCAAACAAAUCAUUCUGCGCGCGCAUCCGCCGUUUUGAUAAACAAAUAACCCCCCAAUUGAACGAAGUUAAACCGAGUGCGCGUGCCGUUCACAGACACCAGAAUGAACGAGUUCACAGUAACGUUCAUCAGGCAGUAAUACAGUACGUUCAGUUCACGUUCGCCGAAAAUAUGAACGAGUUCAUGAACUAUCGUUCAAUGAACGCGUUCAGGCACAACACUGUACA